RNAcentral lists this ribosomal RNA (444 nucleotides) under Minisyncoccota bacterium. RNAcentral's name for it is "bacterial SSU rRNA". It matches the Rfam family "Bacterial small subunit ribosomal RNA", at positions 1064 to 1533 of the family's 1533-position model. The record is from RNAcentral. Lineage: Bacteria; Bacillati; Minisyncoccota.
GGCUUGAGCUGUUCCCUUAAGUGGGGAAACGAACGCAACCCUCGUUGCCUGUUAUAAGUGUCAGGCGAGACUGCUCCCUCACGGGAGAGGAAGGUGAGGAUGACGCCAGGUCAGCAUGUCCCUUGAUGCCUUGGGCUGCACACGUGAUACAAUGGGUGGUACAACGGGACGCAAUACAGUAAUGUGGAGCAAAUCCUUAUAAAACCAUCCCCAGUUCGGAUUGAGGGCUGCAACUCGCCCUCAUGAAGUCGGAAUCGCUAGUAAUCGCGGAUCAGCAACGCCGCGGUGAAUACGUUCCCGAGCCUUGUACUCACCGCCCGUCAAGUCAGGGGAGUCGGGAGUGCCCGAAGUCCCACCUAGAGUGGGCCGACGGUAAACUCGAUAACAAGGACUAAGUCGUAACAAGGCACGGCUAGCGGAAGCUGGUCGUGGAUUAAUUCCAAU